RNAcentral lists this transfer RNA (83 nucleotides) under Lacrimispora saccharolytica. RNAcentral describes it as "tRNA-Leu". It matches the Rfam family "tRNA". Rfam says of the family: Transfer RNA (tRNA) molecules are approximately 80 nucleotides in length. Their secondary structure includes four short double-helical elements and three loops (D, anti-codon, and T loops). RNAcentral also lists the same sequence under 1 other name. The record is from RNAcentral. Lineage: Bacteria; Bacillati; Bacillota; Clostridia; Lachnospirales; Lachnospiraceae.
GCGGAAAUGCUGGAAUUGGCAGACAGGCAUGACUAAGGAUCAUGUGUACCAAGUACGUGAGGGUUCAAGUCCCUUUUUCCGCA